Non-coding RNA from Cinara cedri, 296 nucleotides. The record is from the annotation of a GenBank genome assembly. NCBI's taxonomy places the organism in Eukaryota, Metazoa, Arthropoda, Insecta, Hemiptera, Aphididae.
AGAUUUUAUCAUAGUCGCUGUCAUAAUCCACAUCCUCUCCGAUCGGACUGACGUCAACGUUACAUUUUUUGAGCAAGGUAACCAAGUUUCCUCUUAUCAAUUACGGGUGAUUCAAAAUUUGAUUCGAUGAUAGAUAGAUUUCCCGAUUUUAUCACCCAUUAAAAUCUAAAUUAAACGAACGUCCCUAUAUUAUUUGUCACCAUUCACGAUGAAUCAAAAAUGUAUUUGAAAACAUUUUAUCUAUGACGAUUUAUUUCGUGUUCAAAAUCAGCAGACCGUUAUUUCUACUUUUCUCU